RNAcentral lists this ribosomal RNA (467 nucleotides) under uncultured Alphaproteobacteria bacterium. RNAcentral's name for it is "bacterial SSU rRNA". It matches the Rfam family "Bacterial small subunit ribosomal RNA", at positions 9 to 524 of the family's 1533-position model. The record is from RNAcentral. Lineage: Bacteria; Pseudomonadati; Pseudomonadota; Alphaproteobacteria.
GAGUUUGAUCUUGGCUCAGAGCGAACGCUGGCGGCAGGCCUAAUACAUGCAAGUCGAGCGCACCUUCGGGUGAGCGGCGGACGGGUGAGUAACGCGUGGGAAUGUGCCCUUUGGUACGGAACAACACAGGGAAACUUGUGCUAAUACCGUAUGUGCCCUUCGGGGGAAAGAUUUAUCGCCAUUGGAGCAGCCCGCGUUGGAUUAGCUAGUUGGUGGGGUAAAGGCCCACCAAGGCGACGAUCCAUAGCUGGUCUGAGAGGAUGAUCAGCCACACUGGGACUGAGACACGGCCCAGACUCCUACGGGAGGCAGCAGUAGGGAAUCUUGCGCAAUGGGCGAAAGCCUGACGCAGCCAUGCCGCGUGAAUGAUGAAGGUCUUAGGAUUGUAAAAUUCUUUCACCGGGGAAGAUAAUGACGGUACCCGGAGAAGAAGCCCCGGCUAACUUCGUGCCAGCAGCCGCUGUAAG